UGAUGUUGUGAAUAUUUUAAACUAGCCGCCAUGUGGUUUCGGAUUGCCGGGGUCCACCAGGGCUCCCCAGUGAGUGACAGACACAUGAGUGAAGUGCACGUCGUCUCAGAGUGGCUCCUCGGCAUUUUUUUUUUCUUAUCUUCCCUCCUUCCAUAGUGAUUACAUACACACGAGGAUAAAGAUACAGUGAAUGUGGUGAUGGUUUCACUGUCAUUAUAAAUAGUGAAAUGAGGCAUCCUUAUGAAUAUUAGAAUUUACAUGUAACACUUCCGUGAGUUCCAAAUAAUCCAUUGAAUUAUAUAAGAGCUGUUAAAAAUUUGCUAUCUGGAACAAAGUUCCAAGUAGCACGGGCUAUGGUGAGCCCGUAGUAAUAUAAGAGACUGAUUAUACUCUGGAAAAACCAGCCAAGUGCCUUCAGAGCACGAUGGCUAGGUAAUUGUCCAACCUGUCCUCAUAACCUGCCUCAAGGGACAAAAUAAAGCCUACUAAAACUUUAGAACCUAACUAAACCUUACAAGGAAUACGAGGACACUGGCUAGCUACUUGGACCAUCGGGGAUCGAACGCCGACGCUGCAAAAUACAAUGUAGCAGCUAGUAAAAAAAAAUCGUCCGAAAAGGUAAGAUGGAGGAGCCGCGCCUGCACAAGGAUCAACUGGGCACAUGCCAGAGACAAGAGGCGAGUCAACGUGCAAUACUCAAAGAUGGCCACAGUUACGCCAGCUUCUGAAGCAGGUGUUAAUGGCUGCCGCUGCCAAGGUGGGGACCCAGGCAUCUAGCAAGUUAUGUUCUUGAUUAGCAGCCACCUGCUUCUCUAGACAGUCACAUGUCAUCCAGCCACGAAUCUAAAGG
This is a non-coding RNA of Procambarus clarkii (red swamp crayfish), 850 nucleotides long. Lineage: Eukaryota; Metazoa; Arthropoda; Malacostraca; Decapoda; Cambaridae. The record is from RefSeq and is a predicted model, not a curated record.